Molecule: ribosomal RNA, 656 nt
Filed under: Nematoda environmental sample
Lineage: Eukaryota; Metazoa; Nematoda
Description: LSU rRNA
Rfam family: Eukaryotic large subunit ribosomal RNA
Source: RNAcentral
GACCCGUCUUGAAACACGGACCAAGGAGUUGAACAUGUAGGCGAGUCAUUUGGUUGUAAUUGAAACCAAAAGGCGCAGUGAAAGCGAAAUUCGCCAAGAUCUGCUAGUCUACUGACUGGCAGCGCAUUGGCGACUCGUCACAUUGUCGUGUGCAAGUGGCGAAGUUUGAGCCUACACGUUCAGACCCGAAAGAUGGUGAACUAUGCUCGAGCAGGACGAAGCCAGAGGAAACUCUGGUGGAGGUCCGCAGCGAUUCUGACGUGCAAAUCGAUCGUCUGACUUGAGUAUAGGGGCGAAAGACUAAUCGAACCAUCUAGUAGCUGGUUCCCUCCGAAGUUUCCCUCAGGAUAGCUGGCACUCGAGGGCAGUUGUACUUCGAUAAAGCGAAUGAUUAGAGUGUUCUGGGUCGAAACGACCUAAACCUAUUCUCAAACUUUAAAUGGGUACGAUCUCGAGCUCACUUAACUGGAGCUUGAGUGUGAAUGUGUGCAGUGCCAAGUGGGCCACUUUUGGUAAGCAGAACUGGCGCUGUGGGAUGAACCAAACGUCUGGUUAAGGUGCCGAACACUGACGCUCAUGAGAAACCAUAAAAGGUGUUGGUUGAUAUAGACAGCAGGACGGUGGCCAUGGAAGUCGGAAUCCGCUAAGGAGUGUGU